RNA transcript from Gadus chalcogrammus (walleye pollock), 12797 nucleotides. It is a transcript of the gene named coiled-coil domain-containing protein 106-like, with no coding region annotated. NCBI's taxonomy places the organism in Eukaryota, Metazoa, Chordata, Actinopteri, Gadiformes, Gadidae. The transcript is spliced from 7 exons. The record is from RefSeq and is a predicted model, not a curated record.
UACCGUUCGGAAUUGAAUACAGUUUGAUGGUUGAAUAAACCGUGGACUAGGCAACUAACACAGUAUUCAAAGACGUUCCCGAAAUUCAGCCGUGGUGCAGAGUUCCAGCCACUCUGAGCCAGUCGCACAUUGAGCUUCCCCCAAAUGCGCUGUUUCGGUGUCUGUAGCUAUAAUGCAAAUGAGGAGGAGCGAGGCGGGUCAAGGAGGAGGGUGGGGGUGUGGCCCUGAGCAGCUUGCAGCCACGGUACCAUGCGCUCUGUUUACAGUGGAUGUAUCGCAAUGGCGAGGCGCACACAGCCUUUAGCCGUGUUCUGUAAAUAUUCUAGAACACUAGAAUAUAGAAUAUACUACACUGGGGAGUCUUUCUCCUCCAUGUCGCAGUUCAUGUACUUCAGGGAGUCAAAGCCAAAGUUCCUUUCCCCCAAUUCCUUCUCAACCAUGGGUCAGAUAACCCCCACUGCAGUCUCGUUGUGGAAAUACAAGAGACUUCAAAGAACCGACAAGGAACACUUGCGUUACAGUCUGUGUAUUCACACACACAUGUGGCGCUCGCACGGUCGUGUCUCAUUGGCGGGCCAACGUCUCUGGGCGGGCCAGGCAGAGUAAGGGGAGGAGCUUAGAUGCUUUGUGACAGACCUAAAGACAUUCCAAAUCAGCGCGCCUGAGCCACGCAAGUUUUAGCCACUGGGGGACCAUAGGCAGGCUAGGGGAACUCAUAUUUAUGUUAGAAACCUCAUAAAGUGAGAUUUUCAUGUCAUGGGACCUUUAAUGUUUUAUGUUUGGGUCACGCGGAGUGAGAAACCUUGAAGUUACUGUGGAGUUACCGUUAUUACUAUACCUACCUACCGUUUCGAUUUACAAUUACUAUUCCUACCGUUCAGAAUUGAAUACAGUUUGAUGGUUGAAUAAACCGUGGACUAGACACUGCCUCCGCCUCGUAUUUGAGAACAUUAUAAUAUAUAAUAUCACGGCCAAAAGCUGUGUGCACCUCCGGAAUAUUAUGGACAGAAUUGCAACCCUUUGGUUGCGACAGUUUUUAAGCACUCGUAAUUCGUCAGACACCAGACAACCUCCUGCACCCCCUUUUGGCUCAUAGUUGCCACUACAAGGGUCAUAAUGACUUAAUUGACCACACCCGAGUGGCGAGUUGUCAUGUAAGCAGGUUUUCACUAUACUUCAGGGGGAACCCUUUUCGGUUGAUGCAGGCAUGCCCAGGUAAAAAAGUAAUAUACUUUAAUGUACUAAAAAUGUACUUAAUUUUUUGAAAGUACAUUUCUAGCACAUUUUCACUUUAUGUGUUAAAAUAAAGUAAACCAAAAAUAUAUUAUAAAUGUAUUAAUUACAAAUAUAUUAUUUCCUCAGUAGUACUUCAGUUUACUUAGAUAAAGUACACUAUUUAUUAAUUCAUAUUAAGUAUAUUCAUAUAAAAUAUACUAACACUGAAAUAUAUAUAAGUGUUUGAUUUGUAUAUGUAUUUAUAAUGUACUUCGAAUGUGUUAAAUAUAAGUUUAAUGUCAGUGUAUUUGCAUCUGCUUUUAUCAAGUGCACUUUUAGCACACUAUCAAUAAGUUUACUUUUAUAACACUUUUUUCAUAUCAUUGUUAGCACAGCAGUGUUAAAGUGCACUUAAAAUAAGUAUAUUAAUAAUUGAAUACUACUUCAGUGGUAAAUUAGUGUAUUCUUCAUAAGUACACUAUAAACCAGAACAAAGUAUGUAGCCAUUUAUUUUAGUGUGCUAAGAUCAGUUUAAAAGAAUGUACAAUAACAUUUAAUUUCUUUCACUGAUCUUUUCUCUUCAACCUUUUAAAAUAAUGUAUUUUACCAGCAAAAUGCAACAAUGCUGUUAUGUAACAAUACCUUUUCUAAUUGAAAAAAUAUCCUUCAUUUUCUAUACCUAUUUCAAUUUUAAAUUGUUAGCAAUUAGUGUUAUAAAGUAUUUGGAUUAUUUCAACACCACCGUUGUUUUUAUGCAAUAUUUAAAAAUUCAUCCAUUCUCCAAAUUUAAUGGUGAAUUUUGAAUAAACAUGAACAUCAACAACAGAGCACCUUUCAAUUGACCAUGUGCUUUUAUUUAAUGCAGUAGUCAAGACUCACCAGUAUUUCUAACAAAAAAACAGUACAACCUUGUGUAUUUCUUAUCAUCACAUGGAAAGUACUUAUUCCAAAGCUUGGAUUGUUUCACUUACAUUUGACAGCAAUCAGAAAACAUAUUAGACUUAUGAACAUAUUAAGAUGUGCAGAUAACAGGAAAUUUGCUUUGCUGCUUGACAGAAAAAUUAAUCUUUUGAAAGUCUUUGAUUUUGCAUGAAAACAGUCUGUUAAAGUUCAACAUUUUGAGGCCACAAUUUUGUUUGUAUUUUGUUAUACCACAACUGUUAUAGUAUAACUGUUUAACAGCACAGUCUUUGUGUUUGCUUGCCCAUGUGCCUUAUAAUUUUUACAGAUGUAAUACUCUGAAGUUGCCAUUUUUGGACAUUGUCCACUAGUUUUAAGGCACACCAAGAAUAUACACUGAUAUGUAAUCCCUGUUUCUUACAAUUUGGCAGUGGUUUCAGCAUUUUUUCUCAAACUUCCCCAGUAACUAUUUAAUCUCUCUCUACAUUAUUUGGUAGAGGAAUAACAUAUUGUUUGUCUCUUGAUUGGAUCAAAACACAUUUCCUGUGGAACAGGUCAGUGGGCACCGCAUAAACAUUCCUAGAUUCUGACACCUCAGACAUAAAACUGGAAGCAAUGUUCAGUUGACUAUCCUUGCAGAGCUGUCCAUCAAUCUUCACAAGCUCCUUUACCAAUAUACAGUGCAAUGACAAAUCGCCUGCUCUGAAUACUGACAUGCAAAGAAUUCUACAUAAUCUUCGAUCCUGUAACUCCACUGUUGAGUUUAUCCUUUUUUUUAGACUUCUGUUACUGCUGGAAUGAUACAGUAUGCCUUUUAUAAUGAAACGGUGAUAACAAACACAGUGUUCGACUGCAACACUUAGCAAGUCUUUGAUAGCAAGUUUUUCUAAUGCUGACAGUUUUUGAUGACAGGGAUUACCAAAAACUCUUGACAUUUUCAUCCAGGCUAGAUGAAUUAGAACUUGAUACAUUGCUGUUUAGGAGAUGUGAAAAAAUGCAUUUCACCCCUUCAUUAGCAUCUACCAUGUACUUUUCGGCUUUUUGUGUUAGACUCCUCCAGCAAAGAAAUCUUUUAACUAUUUGCUCUGGAACAUGUGUUGUCCCAUUGAAGUACUGUAACAAAGUGCCAUUAAAUGAUUCGAAGGAAAAGGUUGAUGUGGCCCACAAAGGGCCCCAGUUCCUAACACUUGCCGCAAGGUGUGUCAGAAGAUGGACAUUAAAUGUCAUAUUUGAGGCACCAUAUAACUUCUCAAACUGCAGUGAGAACUUCUUGAGAGCUCUUUCAGCUACUUCAAUAUCACAGCGUUUCACCUUUUCUCCCAAAAGAAUGUGCAUUGCGAACACAAACAGAAAAAGGUGGUUCCAGAACUUCUUUAGUAAGACCCCAUUCAGUAAAGGCAGGGCAUAGAAUAACAGGAAUGACCUCCACUCUGACGCUUUCCAAUAUUUUCUGUCUGCCACAGAUCGUGGUACUCUUGUUAUCUCAACAGGGGGUUGAAUUGCAAUGAGCUCUUUGUCAAUGCGGUCUGAUUUUGCUACCACUCUUUUUAGUACCACUCUUUUUUUAUGAUUUCUUGAGUCAAACCACAGUUUUGCUUAUUGUCUUGUCACACCAAGGCAGACACAAUGCUGAUACUCUGGAACAAAUCCAUUUAUCAUUUGAAACUGAGAGUUUCAUUAAUGGUGAAGGUCCUUUUACUCCCAUUACAGGACUGUCUGGUGUUGCAGCCAUUGCGUUAUCAAAAUGCUUAGCUUCAGUUCUAAGAUGUGGUUUUGGGCCUUUGUUUGUGUAAGGACCACCACCAACAUGGUAACAAAAAUCACAUCCAUAAAAGCCAUUAAACUAUUUGGUGUUUCUUAGAAGUGGGCGAGCAACUGAAUCUGAACUGCAUAUCAGAGCAUACACUUUGGAGACAUGUUUUACAUUUGCUGAGUCCUUCCCUUUAAUGCCAUUUUGUUCUAAAAUUUGCAGUUCAUUAACAAAUGGCUUCAAAAAUGUUAAGAAGUUUGGCUUCUUCUCGCCAAACCGGAGACAAGGAAGACAGAUAUUUGCCUUGCAUUCUUUAGGUUCGAGUUCUAUAACCUGGCACUGAAUGGGCCAGAUUUGAUACUUUGAACUCCUGAAAACUGGAAUUCCAUCACAGUUCCAAAUUAAAGUUAUGUCAUCCUCACCUAAUUCACCUGAUUCUUUGAGUUUCUGGUACUCUUCUCCACACUGUAUAUCUGAAAUGACAUCUGCACAUUGCCAGUCUUUUUUUAAACCUUGGUUUUGUUCAAGCGAUGUUUUGAUUUGUGAAGCCAAACUAAGAACUAGAAAGAAACACCCACUUUUGAGACAGCUCUCUGAAUCAGUUACUGCAUUACAAGCACCACACAUUAGUUCACUGGUAUUAUUUACCCCUAAGUAGUUUUCACAUGCUGGACAGUAAAAAUGGGGGACAUAAUUUCCAUAUUGUCCAUAAGCUUUGUGAAAAAGGUAUGUGGUUACUGGUACCAUUCCAGGGAAAUGUUCAUUGACAAUCUUCAGUAGAUGUUCAAGUGCCACACCUGUCACAUUGUGCCUUACCUUAGUACAUAAGACAUCAGUAAGAUUAAACUUUGUCCCUUUGUCAGUGGAGCUCCAGGAUACGCUGGAUCAUCUCCAUCCAACAGAAAUGUCUCUGCCUGUGAACAUAAAAAAAGAAAAGAUAGAAAACUGUUACACUCAUCUGCAUUAAAAGAGAUUGCUUACAGAUUUACAGAGAAAACAUACUGUAUAAUACAUGUUAAUAACCUGUUGGUUUGGUGUCUCUUGCUGAUCAGGUGGAGUAGCAGGCACAUUGCAUCCUGGUUGCCUCUCUAACAUGUCCUGGCAUAAUAUAAAUGGAAGCAUAAAUACUUUCAUUUUAAUUUAUUUUAUAGUUUUGACAUAUAAAACAAUACUAGUGCUCCAAAAGAUAAGUGGUAACUACUACAAGUCAUCUGGUAGUUUUUACAUUCAGAGAAUUUAUCAAGUUGCCUUCUGGGGUUGUUAGCAGAGAGUUAUGCAAAUGGAAUACACACUAGCUUCAUAUAAAACUGAUGUGAUUUCAGGGGAAAGGAUGAAUGUAGUGCCUAUAUUCAGUAAAUAUACAAAAUGUGUAGCUCCUUGCCCAAACCUAGAAAACAAAUGAACUCUAUUAACAAAUCAGAAACAAGAAUACUGAAAAGCUCUAAUCCUUGGGUGGAUGUAAGACAGGGCAUCUGUUUCUAUCAAGACAAUGAGUUCAAACAUUAAGCCAAAACUGCAUAAUAAUGCUUAAUAAAAAACAAAAUUGUUGUAUUGGCGGAAUAAAACAUCAGAUUUAAGUCACAUUAAGCAAGUUAAGCCACAUUUGCAUUAUAUGUGCAGUGAAGAUCGAACAGAUGGAUAAUAUCCAGGAAAAUGGUGACUACAGCUUCACAUACUGAAGAACUGUAUUAAUUAAGGGAAGGUAUAUGUCACAGCCAUCAAGUGCCAAUGUAGGCUAUAAGUCAGUCACCUGUUAGAAACUUUGUUAGCCUCAUGUGGAACUACUAAUUUGCUUGAAUUACAAUGUAAAUUAACAUUAACAUGAAUGAAUAAUGCAAUCAUACAUUGAAAUAGUUAUUUGUAGUUAUAAUUCUGUGACCAAAUGAGACCUUGCUGGUGUUCACUUUCAAUACAUGUUUAUUAUCGGUAGCCUAUAAUACUAUUAUUUUAAAGGUGUAGAGAAAUGGCCGUUAGUCCUGUUUGUCACGCCGAGUUGUCACGAGCUGCAACACGAGUUUACCCGAGUAAGGAAUACGAAUUUGAUUGGUCGUUAUCGUGUGUGCGUGUCUCAGACGUUUGAAUUAUGGAUGACGGAUCCAAUAUCAGUGGCUUUUGAAUCGUGUACAGGCUGACGUAUUAUCCGUGCGCCUGCAUUAUCCAAUGAGAAAUAAAAUACCACACUUUCAUCCCGGAUUUACUCAAAAAUAUAAUUUUGCACAAAGUUUGGCCUACAUCGUCUGAAAGAUGAGUUAUUCAUAUAAUUUCAUGACCCAGAGUGGGGUCAAAUUCAAUUUUCUUUUCUGUACACCUUUAAGACGUCGGUUUAAAAAAUAAAAACUACUCUAUUCACAUUUUCUGUAUUGAUUAAAGGGGUUGUUUUUAGCAUAAAAAUGAAACUAGUAACUUGUAUCUAUAGUACCUGUGCUUCUGGUCCGAUUUGCAUAUCUUGUUGAUCCCCACAAAAUUAAUAAUAAUAAUAAUAAUUCAUUAUAUUUAUAUAGCGCUUUUCAAUGACCCAAAGACGCUUACAGAAGGGGGGGACCUAACUCACCACCACCAGUGUGUAGCACCCACUUGGGUGAUGCACGGCAGCCAAUCUGCGCCAGAACGCUCACCACACACCAGCUUGAGGUGAAAAGUGCAGUGUGAGUAGGUGGAGGGUGGCAAUUCUAGCACUGGGUGGGUCUUUCUGGAGACUCCCUCCGGCAGGCUGCAUAUAAUGAAGAUAUAAUACAUGGAAUUUCUCAAGUGAAGUAUUAAUGACAAUAAUACAUGUUUGUGUCUCAUUUUAAGGAAAUACACUGUAGGGUCUACUACAAUCAUUAUUUUCAUCACGUUUAAUUUAAUUUAAAUGACAAUUAUACAGAAACUAUAUAGUAUAACAUAGCAAUUAAUAUCAACAAUUUCAAUUGCUGGUAUUUUAAUACCUCUGAUGAAUCUCUGUUGGGUCUGUCCUGAAGCAGGUGCUCUCUUAUUGGACUGACAAGAUGCUUUCCUCUCAAACAUUCUAAAGAUGACUGACCCCUUGGUCCUUCUGCAACAAGGCCCUCAUCGGGAACAUUCUGAUCAUGAGAAAGCACAUAGAUUUAUUUAAAGGUUGACAAUGUAGGAUUACCAGAACAACCACAGAAUGCCAGACCUUUGCUAGGCAAAACGGGUCGUUUCUAGGCACUCCGUUCUGAUCAGAGGACAGCAGAGGAGGAGAACUGCAGGAUAUUUCAUUUUUACCUUCAUUAACAGCAUAAUAAAUUACUUUUAGCUUAUUAGAGGAAGAGUGGAGGCUCUCUGCCAACAACCUCAACCUUUAACUAUCAUACUGUAAACAUUUAGGGUAUGAUAAACAUUACAAAUACAAUUAUGGAUGAAUAAAUGCUUUAGAGGAAAGUAAUAUGUAUUUUGUGAACCCCUUAAUUUUAUUUCAGAAUGGAAGCAUAAAACAUAGUAAUGAUCAUACAUAGUAAUUUUACCUGUUUGUAAGUUGUGGGAUUGUCUCCUGGAUAUUCCUCAAGAGAAUAUGUUCGUUCACAGUUAUUUGAAAGUGGAAUCUGGGGAGUGCAGUUGCAAUGUCAACUUGCAUGUAACACUAUCUGCAAUUCAUAUUAUUGCGAACGAAAGAAAUGGUCUACCUCUUUCACGACCUCUCUAUUGUUAGUUGUACAGGAUGCCCUGAGGUAUUUCUUCUAAUUCCCUCUGCUGUUUAAAGUAUUCUGCAAUGAACACGAAGGUCCUUGCGUUUAAAAUGAAGACUUAUUCUAUAAUCACUGCUGUUGUUGAUAAUAAAAUAAAUGUGAAAGGUCAAAUACUUCUUUCUCGUUUGCUAGCCGUCUGUGUUUGGUUGCCUUUGAAGGUUGGCUCGACUCAUUCAGCAGAUAUUCUUUGUAAUGUCUUUUGGCACAUGUCCGGCACAUGUCCGCCCGCAGACAUGUGCCAUGUCUGCGGGCGGUUUUAGUUUUUCUCUAAGCCCGGUAAAAUACAUCCAUGGCGAUGACGUUUUAUCCAGGACACUGCGCGCGCCCUCUGCACUUUGCCGCACUUUACCUUAUUAUUGAUACGUGCGCAUGCGUGCGCACGUAUUCGUGGCGCUGUGCUGCCGCUGAUUGGUUACCCCCAAAUGCAACCUGCUUGAAUGUAGAUGCUGACAGGGAACCGUUGUCGCAGUUGAGUUACAAUGGCGCAGUUCAAGUUCGGGAUGUUUUAUUUUAAGGACAACACAAUUCACGUCGAAAGUACUGACAUUGUGGAACCUCAGUACAGACAGAAGCUCGUUCAGGUAUUAAAACGGCCGGACCUCUACAGUGAAGACGGAUGGAUACCAGUGUGCUGGGGCACCAGGAAAGCACCUACAAACAAUGUGGCCGCAAAACUGCUCUUACUCUGAGGUUUGUAUUGCUCGUGCAUGGUGUGAAAUAUCUUUUGAAUAGAUAUUCCAUUUCUACUAAUGACUAAGAUAAUAGGCAAACUUAUCAUUCACAAGCUGCAUUAGCUAACUAGCUAGCUAGCUGUUAGCGGCAGGCGGCAGCUAAUGCUAGUGUAAAUGGUGCUAAUUUAGUGCAACUUCAGAUGAGAUUUUGUGUGAACAUUUGUGAGCGUGCUGUGAAUGUUUAGCACAAAUUGCCCACUGUAAAGAAAAUAACAAGAAUUUUUUUUUACAAAUUUCUUAUGUUAUCCCUAUGUUCCCCGGGUCCUAAGUUCCCCGGGUUCUAUGUUCCCCACUCGGGGAACAUAGAACCCUUUUUAAAAAAAAAAAACAAGUCCUAUGUUCCCCGUUUUUCCCAAAAAGGGUCCUAUGUUCCCCUGUAGCCAUACAUGCCGGGGAGCAUAGGACCCUUUUUGGGAAAAGCGGGGAACAUAGGACCCUUUUUUAAAAAAGGGUCCUAUGUUCCCCAGUCUCAUACAAAGGGGAACAUAGGACCCGGGGAACAUAGCACCCGGGGAACAUAGACACGCUCCCCCAGCCACCUGAUGAUUUGAUAAAGAAUUUGCCAGUGGCUCAUGCUAAUGAUUGUUAAUGUUGACCUUGUGUGAUUUAAUUUUUGUGUAACUAUGUUUAUAAAAAGACUUAGAGUGACUUGUUGUGUACAAUAUUAGAUUGACUGUGGUGCAUUUCACGAGACGUACAAAAUAUCUAAAAUAUUGAGCAAAAGAGGGUAAAAACAUGGUUUUGACAGUUUGUCUGAUGUAUGGUUGUGGUUACAGACAACUACAAGGAGUUGAUGGGGGAAAAUGAAGCCUUCCUCAAGGAUGAGGACAUCUGGCACAUGGCAGUUGCAAGGAGAAGGACCACACCUUGUACCACAACACAGGAUGGAAGCAAACCAAAGAAAAAAAGAAUUACUGCAACUUCCAGUCUCACUUCAGAUGAAGAUGAAACACCGAUUGACCCAUCACAAGUUCUUCAAACAAAUAAGCCGAAGAUGACAAAGGCUGCAAGAGACAGAGCCCUUUCCCAACUGAAAUCCUCACUGCUGAGAAGAAAUCCAACAACCUCCAGCCCCUUGACAAAUGAAGACGAUACAGACAUAGACACCAAUGUGGACUUAUUUGACCCACCUCAGGCUUCGGGAUGAACUGACCUCUGCCAAGGGGAAAGUGAAGAGGAGAGUGUCCUGAUGGAUCAGCCCAGAUCCAGUGUUGACAUGCAACAGGAAGUGAUGGAUGCUCUGAAAGAAAUACCAGCCUUAAUCAAGUGUGUCAAAAAUCUUAUUACAACCAUGAAGAGAAUGCCACCUGUCAUGGACACUGACAGUACAUGUUCUGGUUCUUCCAGUCCAGCUCCAGAAAUGAUUUCCCUUGGCAACACGGGGGUGCAGGUCAGCAAAACCUGUUUCAGAAGACUAAACCAAACAAGAAUGUCCCUGUUCACACAGGACUUAGCUGUGCUCAUCUUUGGGCGGGAUGUUUUGGCAUCCUCGACUCUCACAGGAAAACCAGGGCUUACUGGAACAGCGAAAGAGCAGCUAAAUCCGGUAAAGCUGAGUGCCCUUGUUGAUACAGUUAUUGCUGAAUUUCCAGGAACAAAUGUGUCUGAUGUGAGGGCAGUGAUUCUGAGAAAAUGUAACAAUGAGAAUUUUGUGAGCAAAAAGAAACAGUAAGCAGUAACAUCAGUAACUGUUUGUAAUCGUUUUUGUUUGUUUGUUCUUUGGUGGACAUACAUUUUGAGUUUAAACAAACUGUGAAUGUUUCACAUGUAAAAGUUUCAAAAGUCAGUUUAAUGUUCAUCCCUGUCAUUACUAGCUUCUCUGCGGUGCAUAGCUAGCAGGGUAGUGCUAGCACAGCUAGUGUUUCUUUAUUUUUUCCUUUUAUUAUUGUUACUUAGUUAACUUGUUAAAGAGUGUGACUAAAAAGAAUUCUCUGGGGUUAGAUGAUCCAAAUUUGAAUAAAAAUGUUACGAUGAAGAUAUACUGUUUUAAAAUGUUGUUUAAGAUGUUGUUAAAGAUGUAUUAAAAUGUACUUUAUUAUGCACAUUUUCCCUGUCAUGCCGUGCAUGUUAAAAAUAUACCUUUUUUCUACCUCAAGUAUGUUCUAAAUAUUUUUUAUGUUUACUUAAAAGUAAUUUACAUUUCAAAUUAAUUAUAGAAAAAAUAUACUUUCUGUGUACUGUUGAAGUGUACUUUAAUGAAAUGCAUCUAGUAUACUUUCUGCACACAUAAUUAGUGUACUCACAGUAUAUUAUUUUCAAUGUGCUAACAAUAUACUUAGUAUACUAAUGAUAUAUCAUGAGUGCUACUUUAGACAUACUAAAGUACAACUUAGUGUACUUAUCUGUACUAUUUUGAGUCAACAUUAAGAUGAACUAUAGUAUGCUUUAGUACAACUUUUUAAUUUUUAUUUGUUUUUUGUAAAUAUAUUUAAAAUGCCAUGGCAAUACAUUAUGAUUAAAUUAGAAAUACAUUUCCAGUAUAUUCUAAAUGUAUUAAUAGUAAUCUUAAAAGUGGAUUUAAAUAUACUUUAAAUCGAACUAAAGAACAUUAUAAAUAAGUACAGUAUUAGUAGAGAAAAGUGUACUUAAGUAUAUUUAAGUUAAUCUUAAUGGUGUCUCAAAAUAGUACAGUCAAGUACACUAAGAUGUAUUUUAGUAUAUCUUAAGUAGCAAUAAUGAUAUAUCAUUAGUAUACUAAGUACGCAUGUACGUAUACACUUAUUCCGAUUAGUUUGGGGUUUAACUUUGAGCAGCUGCAGUAGUUCACAAUUGGUCCACUCCGUAUGUAUUUUUCUGCACACCGAACUUGACCGCUGUCAAGGAAAGUGGAUUUUUUGUCUGAUUCACAUCUUUCUUAGUUUACAGAUGCGGUCUAUAGUCGCUCAAUUUAGCAGAUUAACAACCGUUGAAAGGUAUUGAAGGCAUUUUAAAACAAGGCCCAACAAGCAGUUGACAGGAGAGGUGCGGCUCCAACCAAUUUUCCAUUCUUUGAAACGAUCAACCGUUUCAUCGGAGGACGGCCAUUCGGCCAAUAUUCAAUGUUGAGCAAAAUGGACUUUAUGUUGGUUUUAGAACAGACGAGGAUGUGAAUGUAACAUCCUCUGGUAAGAUGUCACCAUUGUUAUAAGGUUUAGGAUCAAUUCAUGGGUACACAUGACUUAUUGCUUGCUCUCUAGCGAUGGUUUGAGGUUGGCUGAUGGUAAUACAUGAGAGUACUUAAUGCUAUUCAAGUAUAACAUGUAACCCAUGUUAGGUCUUAACACGUAUUUAUUCUGUGGUAGAUGAUGACAGGGACGGCAAUGACACUGUUGGCAACGCUCAGGAGUCAAAAGCAGAGGAGACCUCCAAAGUGGCUCUUCCUGCGUCAAUAAAGAGAAAGCCACUGCUUCGAUAGAAAAUAAUGAGCCCGUACAAUUUGUGUUGAAAUCACAUUGUUAACUUCAACUUGCACUUAUAGUGUAGAUUCCUCUACAAGUACAGUAGAUUCCUCUACAGAUAAAGUUAAAUUUGCACUGAAGCCUACGUUAAAAUCCAGAGCUAAAAACUAGUGCUAGUGUAAAGAAUGCUCCACCCCAUUUUUUGUAACAACGCAGCCAGACCUCAAGAAUCUCCAAAAGAAAGGUCAGUGUCCGUAAUAAUUUAAAAUAAUGUCAUUGUUUUCCAUCUGUUGUUUAUUUAGCCUCAUGGAAAUACAGUGGGGCUCUGUGAUUUAGCGUGUGAGGUCUAAACUGCAUAAUACAUCACAUUUGUAGUGACAACGCUAGCUAGCUAUGUAAGCUAAUCGCUAACGCUAGCAAGGUAAGGAAAGUUCCAAUAGCAACUACAGUAUGAUCAUUUAUUGAUUAAAACAUGCCACAAAAUGUGAAAAUAAUUAUUGACUUCUUGAUAUUUUAAUCACGUUAUGUCAGACAAUUGAUUGUCAGUGUAAUGGGUUAGAAAACCUACUAAUUUCCUUAUGGUGUGUAAAGGGUUAAAAAUAUAAAUAUAUUUGGGGCAUUAGUAAAAAGAUAAAAGUAGACAACCCAUUAUUUUCUUUUGUUUUUGACUAUAAUAAUCUAAUAAAAUUUCAUAAUGGCGGUUUUCGCUAGAAUGACUCAUCGAGCCACUAGAUGGCGCAUGGCGCCCAGGGGAUCAUUAACACCACAGGGACACGUUACCGCAGAAUAAAUUCUGCGAGCAAGACUAAUGGAAGCUUUGUUUCAUGUCUCUUGUUUGUUAAACAAUAGGUGGGUUAAAACCCCUUAAAUAAAACACAUUAUACUUUGUAGAGUAGGCUCAUGAGUGUAAUAUGGUCAGAAGAAGAGAAAUGGGUUUUGUGAAUGUUGUGUGAUCGUGAUCGUGAUCGUGACCAUGAAGUUACAUGCUAAUGUUGUUGGGCUAGCGGUGCUAGUGGGUUCUUGCGGGCGUUGCGCUGACAUUGGGUUCAUGAAGUGAACGCGAGUUCUAUUUCAUUCUUACUGACCGCCAGAGGCAGUGCUUAACAUCCAGUGUUAAGCACUGCCUCUGGCGGUC